AUUGAACGCUGGCGGCAUGCCUUACACAUGCAAGUCGAACGGCAGCACGGGUGCUUGCACCUGGUGGCGAGUGGCGAACGGGUGAGUAAUACAUCGGAACAUGUCCCGUAGCGGGGGAUAGCCCGGCGAAAGCCGGAUUAAUACCGCAUACGAUCUACGGAUGAAAGCGGGGGACCUUCGGGCCUCGCGCUAUAGGGUUGGCCGAUGGCUGAUUAGCUAGUUGGUGGGGUAAAGGCCUACCAAGGCGACGAUCAGUAGCUGGUCUGAGAGGACGACCAGCCACACUGGGACUGAGACACGGCCCAGACUCCUACGGGAGGCAGCAGUGGGGAAUUUUGGACAAUGGGCGAAAGCCUGAUCCAGCAAUGCCGCGUGUGUGAAGAAGGCCUUCGGGUUGUAAAGCACUUUUGUCCGGAAAGAAAUCCUUGGCCCUAAUACGGUCGGGGGAUGACGGUACCGGAAGAAUAAGCACCGGCUAACUACGUG
Molecule: ribosomal RNA, 486 nt
Filed under: uncultured bacterium
Lineage: Bacteria
Description: partial 16S ribosomal RNA
Rfam family: Bacterial small subunit ribosomal RNA
Source: RNAcentral